This 378-nucleotide ribosomal RNA is filed under the name uncultured organism. Its description in RNAcentral is "partial 16S ribosomal RNA". It matches the Rfam family "Bacterial small subunit ribosomal RNA", at positions 527 to 897 of the family's 1533-position model. The record is from RNAcentral.
GUAGGUGGCAAGCGUUGUCCGGAAUUAUUGGGCGUAAAGCGCGCGCAGGCGGUCCUUUAAGUCUGAUGUGAAAGCCCACGGCUCAACCGUGGAGGGUCAUUGGAAACUGGGGGACUUGAGUACAGAAGAGGAAAGCGGAAUUCCAAGUGUAGCGGUGAAAUGCGUAGAGAUUUGGAGGAACACCAGUGGCGAAGGCGGCUUUCUGGUCUGUAACUGACGCUGAGGCGCGAAAGCGUGGGGAGCAAACAGGAUUAGAUACCCUGGUAGUCCACGCCGUAAACGAUGAGUGCUAAGUGUUAGGGGGUUUCCCGCCCCCCUUAGUGCUGCAGCUAACGCAUUAAGCACUCCGCCCUGGGGGAGUACGGCCCGCAAGGCUGA